Non-coding RNA from Paramuricea clavata, 495 nucleotides. The record is from the annotation of a GenBank genome assembly. Lineage: Eukaryota; Metazoa; Cnidaria; Anthozoa; Malacalcyonacea; Plexauridae.
GCUGUUUUUUCCCUAUUUAUGAAAAAUGAGAAAAGUCGUUAAAAAUGGACGAAAAGUAAAGGCUAUAGCCUUACAUUUUUGCUGUUUUUUCCCUAUUUAUGAAAAAUGAGAAAAGUCGCUAAAAAUGGACGAAAAGUAAAGGCUAUAGCCUUACAUUUUUGCUGUUUUUUCCCUAUUUAUGAAAAAUGAAAAAUAGGCUAAAAUGGACGAAAACCAAAGGCUAAAGCCUUACUUUUUUGCUGUUUUUUCCCUAUUUAUGAAAAAUAGGCUAAAAUGGACGAAAAUCAAAGGCUAAAGCCUUACAUUUUUGCUGUUUUUUCCCUAUUUAUGAAAAAUGAGGGCUAAAAAUGGACGAAAAUCAAAGGCUUUAGCCUUAUAUUUUUGCUGUUUUUUUCCUAUUUAUGAAAAAUGAAAAAUAGGCUAAAAUGGACGAAAAUCAAAGGCUAUAGCCUUAUAUUUUUGCUGUUUUUUCCCUAUUUAUGAAAUAUGAGAAAA